RNAcentral lists this ribosomal RNA (253 nucleotides) under uncultured bacterium. RNAcentral describes it as "partial 16S ribosomal RNA". It matches the Rfam family "Bacterial small subunit ribosomal RNA", at positions 524 to 776 of the family's 1533-position model. The record is from RNAcentral.
GACGUAGGGCGCGAGCGUUGUCCGGAUUUAUUGGGCGUAAAGCGCUCGUAGGCGGCUUGUUACGUCGGAUGUGAAAACCCAUGGCUCAACUGUGGGCUUGCAUCCGAUACGGGCAGGCUAGAGUUCGGUAGGGGAGACUGGAAUUCCUGGUGUAGCGGUGAAAUGCGCAGAUGUCAGGAAGAACACCCGUGGCGAAGGCGGCUCUCUGGGACGGUACUGACGCUGAGACGCGAAAGCGUGGGGAGCGAACAGG